UGUGGGAGCGAGCCUGCUCGCGAUAGCGUCAUGUCAGUCACAUUGCUGUUGGCUGAAACAUCGCUAUCGCGAGCAGGCUCGCUCCCACA
RNAcentral lists this unclassified non-coding RNA (89 nucleotides) under Pseudomonas sp. A214. The record is from RNAcentral. Lineage: Bacteria; Pseudomonadati; Pseudomonadota; Gammaproteobacteria; Pseudomonadales; Pseudomonadaceae.